GUCUACGGCCAUACCACCCAGAAUGUGUCCGAUCUCAUCUGAUCUCAGAAGCUAAGCAGGGUUGGGCCCGGUAAGUACUUGGAUGGGAGGGUCAGCCUUUGUGCUGUAGGAA
RNAcentral lists this ribosomal RNA (112 nucleotides) under Octodon degus (degu). Lineage: Eukaryota; Metazoa; Chordata; Mammalia; Rodentia; Octodontidae. The record is from RNAcentral.